Molecule: ribosomal RNA, 301 nt
Filed under: uncultured bacterium
Lineage: Bacteria
Description: partial 16S ribosomal RNA
Rfam family: Bacterial small subunit ribosomal RNA
Source: RNAcentral
CAGUCGCCGCGGGAAUACGUAGGUCCCGAGCGUUGUCCGGAUUUAUUGGGCGUAAAGCGAGCGCAGGCGGUUAGAUAAGUCUGAAGUUAAAGGCUGUGGCUUAACCAUAGUACGCUUUGGAAACUGUUUAACUUGAGUGCAAGAGGGGAGAGUGGAAUUCCAUGUGUAGCGGUGAAAUGCGUAGAUAUAUGGAGGAACACCGGUGGCGAAAGCGGCCCUCUGGCUUGUAACUGAUGCUGAGGCUCGAAAGCGUGGGGAGCAAACAGGAUUAGAUACCCGGGUAGUCCCUGUCUCUUAUACA